UAUUAGGUUGGUGCAAAAGUAAUUGCAGUUUUUACCAUUAUUUUUUAGGGUCAAAAUUGCAAUUACUUUUGCCCCAACCUAAUA
MicroRNA precursor from Rhinopithecus bieti (black snub-nosed monkey), 84 nucleotides. The record is from Ensembl. NCBI's taxonomy places the organism in Eukaryota, Metazoa, Chordata, Mammalia, Primates, Cercopithecidae.